Molecule: ribosomal RNA, 378 nt
Filed under: Triticum aestivum (bread wheat)
Lineage: Eukaryota; Viridiplantae; Streptophyta; Magnoliopsida; Poales; Poaceae
Description: partial small subunit ribosomal RNA
Source: RNAcentral
AUGAUAGUUGUGCCUAAGUGGAUCGAGACUAAAGGUCGCAUGUCAAUUGUUAGCUUAUGGCCAAGAUAUCCUACAAUGCACAUGAGUGCAUUCAGGAUUUCUGAAAGCGAUGAAUGCUUAAUAGUGAAAGAUUGGAGCAAAAUUGUUAACGAUCGCAGAGAAGUACUAGGGGGCAGCAAUCAGAAGCGCAGCCCACGAUUAGGAGACAGGUUCAUCUGCAUGCUCCAAUAUGAUGAAUCAGGAGAGCUAUACAUGUCUAUGCUAUUUUACCUAAGAGAGAGAAGCAGGAGCGAUUUAGCUAGUUAUCGUGCUCUUAGUACUUGUUGUCCUCUCAUGCGUGUCCGUGUUCUUCGUCCUGAACUUAAUCUCAAAGAGUGA